Molecule: transfer RNA, 76 nt
Filed under: Verrucomicrobiota bacterium
Lineage: Bacteria; Pseudomonadati; Verrucomicrobiota
Also listed under: 1 other name
Description: Verrucomicrobia bacterium tRNA-Thr
Rfam family: tRNA
About the family: Transfer RNA (tRNA) molecules are approximately 80 nucleotides in length.
Source: RNAcentral
GCCAGCGUAGCUCAGUUGGUAGAGCAGCUGAUUUGUAAUCAGCAGGUCGGGGGUUCGAAUCCCUUCGCUGGCUCCA